UGAUACUUUCCUAGUGUCUUCCCGGAGAGC
This 30-nucleotide non-coding RNA is filed under the name Mus musculus (house mouse). Lineage: Eukaryota; Metazoa; Chordata; Mammalia; Rodentia; Muridae. The record is from RNAcentral.